RNAcentral lists this ribosomal RNA (132 nucleotides) under Colobus angolensis palliatus. Lineage: Eukaryota; Metazoa; Chordata; Mammalia; Primates; Cercopithecidae. The record is from RNAcentral.
AUCUACGGCCAGACCACCCUGAAGGCACUUGAUCUCAUCUGCUUUCAGAAGCUAAGCAGGGUUGGGCCUGGUUAGUACAUGGAUGGCAGAACUGGUUAGUACUUGGAUGGGAGAAUGCCUGGGAAUUAGGUU